This 68-nucleotide transfer RNA is filed under the name Neogale frenata (long-tailed weasel). Its description in RNAcentral is "tRNA-Arg". It matches the Rfam family "tRNA". Rfam says of the family: Transfer RNA (tRNA) molecules are approximately 80 nucleotides in length. Lineage: Eukaryota; Metazoa; Chordata; Mammalia; Carnivora; Mustelidae. The record is from RNAcentral.
UGGUAAUUAGUUUAACGAAAACAAAUGAUUUCGACUCAUUAGAUUGUAAAUCGCAUUACAAUUAUCAA